RNAcentral lists this unclassified non-coding RNA (329 nucleotides) under soil metagenome. RNAcentral describes it as "partial contains 5.8S ribosomal RNA, internal transcribed spacer 2, and large subunit ribosomal RNA". The stretch from base 1 to 120 matches the Rfam family "5.8S ribosomal RNA", at positions 35 to 154 of the family's 154-position model. The record is from RNAcentral.
GAUGAAGAACGCAGCGAAAUGCGAUAAGUAAUGUGAAUUGCAGAAUUCAGUGAAUCAUCGAAUCUUUGAACUCACAUUGCGCCCCCUGGCAUUCCGGGGGGCAUGCCUGUCCGAGCGUCAUUACAACCCUCAAGCUCAGCUUGGUGUUGGGCCCCGCCGCCCCGGCGGGCCCUAAAGUCAGUGGCGGUGCCGUCCGGCUCCGAGCGUAGUAAUUCUUCUCGCUCUGGAGGUCCGGUCGCGUGCUCGCCAGCAACCCCCAAUUUUUUUCAGGUUGACCUCGGAUCAGGUAGGGAUACCCGCUGAACUUAAGCAUAUCAAUAAGCGGAGGA